This 377-nucleotide ribosomal RNA is filed under the name uncultured organism. Its description in RNAcentral is "partial 16S ribosomal RNA". It matches the Rfam family "Bacterial small subunit ribosomal RNA", at positions 527 to 897 of the family's 1533-position model. The record is from RNAcentral.
GUAGGUGGCAAGCGUUGUCCGGGAAUUAUUGGGGCGUAAAGCGCGCGCAGGCGGUUCUUUAAGUCUGAUGUGAAAGCCCACGGGCUCAACCGUGGGAGGGUCAUUGGAAACUGGAGAACUUGAGUACAGAAGAGGAAAGCGGAAUUCCACGUGUAGCGGUGAAAUGCGUAGAGAUGUGGAGGAACACCAGUGGCGAAGGCGGCUUUCUGGUCUGUAACUGACGCUGAGGCGCGAAAGCGUGGGGAGCAAACAGGAUUAGAUACCCUGGCAGUCCACGCCGUAAACGAUGAGUGCUAAGUGUUAGGGGGUUUCCGCCCCUUAGUGCUGCAGCUAACGCAUUAAGCACUCCGCCUGGGGAGUACGGCCGCAAAGGCUGA